AGGCACUAGUUGAGAAAGAACUAGUGAAUGCAAGAAAAGCUGUGGACUUAUGUCUUGCUGAGGAGAAUAUAACCAAGCUGAAUUCAAUAUCAGUGCAUCUUGAAGAGAGUUUUGCAAUUGCUCGUGGGAUUGGGAAUUUGUACUCCAAGAGUGUUGAGGUGAUGAAACUUAUCGACAAUCUCAUGAAAGCUUCAGAAAUGGCUGUCACAGCUAUUAAGGAAUUUACCCAUGAAGUCACCGCGGAGGUAGAUGCUGUGAACUCGUCAGUGGAUGCUGCGGAAGACGGAGAAGAUAAAAUUGAAGAAAAAGCUGAGGAGGAAAAUUCUCCGAAGGUUCUGCAAAUGAUGAGGAGGAAGUGGGUCCUAAACUAUACCUGAUUCAACCAUGAUUGUCUGUCUUACCUGGAUUGGAACAAGUGACGUCUUGUAUACAUAUAUAUAUAUAUAUAUAUAUAUAUAUGAUGAGUGUUUGAGUUACGAGCUAUGCAAUAUUGUGUGGGGUGCAAUGAGUCAACUCGGUCGGUUGGCUGUUUGUUUCUGUUAUUGCCUUAAAUUAGACGUUGUGUGUUGUUGUUAAUGUUGUGUUUGCGGGGAUUGAGUCAUGGGUAUGAGUUG
Molecule: non-coding RNA, 614 nt
Organism: Carica papaya (papaya)
Lineage: Eukaryota; Viridiplantae; Streptophyta; Magnoliopsida; Brassicales; Caricaceae
Source: RefSeq, a predicted model, not a curated record